RNAcentral lists this ribosomal RNA (253 nucleotides) under uncultured bacterium. Its description in RNAcentral is "partial 16S ribosomal RNA". It matches the Rfam family "Bacterial small subunit ribosomal RNA", at positions 524 to 776 of the family's 1533-position model. The record is from RNAcentral.
UACAGAGGUCCCAAGCGUUGUUCGGAUUCACUGGGCGUAAAGGGUGCGUAGGUGGCGAGGUAAGUCGGAUGUGAAAGCUCGGAGCUCAACUCCGAAAUGGCAUUGGAAACUACCUUGCUCGAGGAUUGGAGGGGGGACUGGAAUACUUGGUGUAGCAGUGAAAUGCGUAGAUAUCAAGUGGAACACCAGUGGCGAAGGCGAGUCCCUGGACAACUCCUGACACUGAGGCACGAAAGCUAGGGGAGCAAACAGG